AAAACAAAAUGGGUGGCAUUAAUAAAUCCUCAUUGCAAUCAAUUAAAAAAGGAAAAUCCAGAAGGCCCUGGUCAAAGACUGAGGGAGACAUUGUUGAAAGCCAUUUCAAAGACUUCCUGAAAGAAAUGAAGAUGCCUGGAAAAGUGCACUGUCAGAGAUGCAUAGAUGAAAAUCAGAUUCUAAGGGAUAAUGACGGAGACUGGAAAGCUGUAAAAUACUGUAUGUACAACAAGAAAACAGCAAAGAGAAACAGGUUCCAAAAGUACUGAGAAUUAUACUGGACAUUUUGAGCAUCAAUGCUAGGAACCCAAAAAACCUACAUGUAUACCAAAGUACACAGAUACAAUUAAAAAAAAAAUAUUGACAUCAA
Molecule: long non-coding RNA, 370 nt
Organism: Fundulus heteroclitus (mummichog)
Lineage: Eukaryota; Metazoa; Chordata; Actinopteri; Cyprinodontiformes; Fundulidae
Exons: 2
Source: RefSeq, a predicted model, not a curated record